Molecule: ribosomal RNA, 462 nt
Filed under: uncultured bacterium
Lineage: Bacteria
Description: partial 16S ribosomal RNA
Rfam family: Bacterial small subunit ribosomal RNA
Source: RNAcentral
CCUACGGGUGGCAGCAGUGAGGAAUAUUGGUCAAUGGACGCAAGUCUGAACCAUCCAAGUAGCGUGCAGGAUGACGGCCCUCCGGGUUGUAAACUGCUUUUAGUUGGGAAUAAAAGGGGGCUCGUGAGCCCCGUAUUUUAUUUACCAUCAGAAAAAGGACCGGCUAAUUCCGUGCCAGCAGCCGCGGUAAUACGGAAGGUCCGGGAGUUAUCCGGAUUUAUUUGGUUUAAAGGGAGCGUAGCCCGGCUUUUAAGUCAGCUGUGAAAGUCCGCGGAUCACAUGUGGAAGUGCAGUUGAAACUGGAGGCCGUGAGUGCACACAGGGAUGCCGGAAUUCAUGGUGUAGCGGUGAAAUGCUUAGAUAUCAUGAAGAACUCCGAUCGCGAAGGCAAGUGUCCGGGGUGCAACUGACGCUGAGGCUCGAAAGUGCGGGUAUCAAACAGGAUUAGAUACCCUGGUAGUC